GACGAACGCUGGCGGCGUGCUUAACACAUGCAAGUCGAACGGAAAGGCCCUGCUUUUGCGGGGUGCUCGAGUGGCGAACGGGUGUGUAACACGUGAGUAACCUGCCCUUGACUUUGGGAUAACUUCAGGAAACUGGGGCUAAUACCGGCUAGGAGCUCCUGCUGCAUGGUGGGGGUUGGACAGUUUCGGCGGUUGGGGAUGGACUCGCGGCUUACCAGCUUGUUGGUGGGGUAGUGGCCUACCAAGGCUUCGACGGGUAGCCGGCCUGAGAGGGGGAACGGCCACCAUAGGACUGCGAUACGGCCCAGUCUCCUACGGGAGGCAGCAGUGGGGAAUAUUGCACAAUGGGCGGAAGCCUGAGGCAACAACGCCGCGUGCGGGAUGACGGCCUUCGGGUUGUAAACCGCUUUCACCUGUGACGAAGCGGGAGUGACGGUAAUGGGUAAAGAAGCACCGGCUAACUACGUG
Molecule: ribosomal RNA, 468 nt
Filed under: uncultured bacterium
Lineage: Bacteria
Description: partial 16S ribosomal RNA
Rfam family: Bacterial small subunit ribosomal RNA
Source: RNAcentral